AAAUCUCCAAAUUCAAACCCCUCUCCAGUAGGACUUCUGUGAGUGUGAUUAUUGGGGAUUCUUUCGAUGAGCAAAUUCCUGCUCCUCUAAACCAAGUGGUGGCCCAGCUUCAGAAGAAGUUACUGGAGCAGACUUACCCCUCGGCCAACCAGAUCCAUGUUAAAGGAGGGGACCGCAGGAUGAUCUACAAGAGGCCGUCUGUUGUUAGCAAACACCUGUGGAAUCUGGUGUCCCAACGGCAGUCCGAACAGCAGAGCCAAUGACCAUAGAGAUCUAUAGAAGACAUCUAGUUCAUAUGCUCUAAUUUCAAGGUUUGAAUUCUGUGCCAGUGACACACUGAUUCUGCUGCCAAAUGUCUCAACUACACUCACAACUGGAAGAUGAAGUCACAUCACAGAGGUUCCUUGUUUCUUUUUUUCAGGGAUGAUUUUUGACUGGAAUCUACUUGACAUGUGUAUGUCCACACAUGAAACCGGUUUCAAUCGAUUGAUUUUUUUUGUAUACUUUAUUACAAAUAUCAGACCGUUUUGCCUUAAUGUUUGUAAAUAAAUCAAGUCUUCUGAA
Long non-coding RNA from Oncorhynchus nerka (sockeye salmon), 564 nucleotides. RefSeq lists it as uncharacterized. The transcript has 2 exons. The record is from RefSeq and is a predicted model, not a curated record. NCBI's taxonomy places the organism in Eukaryota, Metazoa, Chordata, Actinopteri, Salmoniformes, Salmonidae.